This 1661-nucleotide ribosomal RNA is filed under the name human gut metagenome. RNAcentral describes it as "bacterial LSU rRNA". It matches the Rfam family "Bacterial large subunit ribosomal RNA", at positions 1252 to 2925 of the family's 2925-position model. The record is from RNAcentral.
GAAGCCGUACCGUGAGGAGCGGUGGAUUGUAUAGAAGUGAGAAUGCCGGUGUGAGUAGCGAGAUGUAGGUGAGAAUCCUACACACCGAAAGCCCAAGGAUUCCAGGGGAAGGUUCGUCCGCCCUGGGUAAGUCGGGACCUAACGCGAGGCCGAAAGGCGUAGUGGAUGGAAAGCAGGCGAAAGAUUCCUGCACCCGUAUAUGGAGCGAAGGAGUGACGGAGACGGAUAGUGUGACCCUCUUAAUGGAUUGAGGGCGAAGCGAAGCGGCUGGUUACCAGGCAAAUCCGGUAACUGAAAGGCUAGAGCGUGACAGGUAAGCGAAAUCUUUGGAAAGUAGCGAAGCACAUGAUGACGGCUUCCAGGAAAAGCUUCUGGCAAUGCAUAUGCGGCCCGUACCAAAACCGACACAGGUGGGCAGGGAGAGAAUCCCGAGGUGAGCGAGAGAACUGUUGCCAAGGAACUCGGCAAAAUGACUCCGUAAGUUAGCGAGAAGGAGUGCUUAAGCAAUUAAGCCGCAGUGAAGAGGCCCAAGCGACUGUUUAACUAAAACACAGCUCUCUGCGAAGUCGCAAGACGAAGUAUAGGGGGUGACACCUGCCCGGUGCUGGAAGGUUAAGAGGAUCUGUUAAGAGCGAUCUGAAGCAGUGAUCCGAAGCCCCAGUGAACGGCGGCCGUAACUAUAACGGUCCUAAGGUAGCGAAAUUCCUUGUCAGGUAAGUUCUGACCCGCACGAAAGGUGUAACGAUUUGGGCGCUGUCUCGGCAGCAGACUCGGUGAAAUCUUAGUACCUGUGAAAAUGCAGGUUACCCGCAACUAGACGGAAAGACCCCAUGGAGCUUUACUGCAGCCUGAUAUUGAAUUCUGGUCAUACAUGUACAGGAUAGGUGGGAGACAAAGAGACGUGCACGCCAGUGUACGAGGAGUCGCCGUUGGGAUACCACUCUUGUGUGACCGGGGUUCUAACCUGGUAUCGAGAACAGGUACGGGGAGAGUGUCAGGUGGGCAGUUUGACUGGGGCGGUCGCCUCCCAAAGAGUAACGGAGGCGCCCAAAGGUACGCUCAGAUUGGAUGGAAACCAAUCGUCGAGUGCAAUUGCAGAAGCGUGCUUGACUGUGAGACAGACAAGUCGAACAGGGACGAAAGUCGGGAAUAGUGAUCCGGCGGUGCCGAAUGGAAGGGCCGUCGCUCAACGGAUAAAAGCUACCCUGGGGAUAACAGGCUGAUCUCGCCCAAGAGUUCACAUCGACGGCGAGGUUUGGCACCUCGAUGUCGGCUCAUCGCAUCCUGGAGCUGGAUUCGGUUCCAAGGGUUGGGCUGUCCGCCCAUUAAAGCGGUACGCGAGCUGGGUUCAGAACGUCGUGAGACAGUUCGGUCCCUAUCUGUUGUGGGCGAAGGAGAUCUGCGGAGAGCUGUCCUCAGUACGAGAGGACCGGGAUGGACCUACCGCUGGUGCACCGGUUGUUCCGCCAGGGGCAUAGCCGGGUAGCUAAGUAGGGAAAGGAUAAGCGCUGAAAGCAUCUAAGCACGAAGCCUACUCCAAGAUGAGAUCUCCCAUUCGCAAGAAGUAAGACCCCUUAAAGACGAUAAGGUAGAUAGGCCAGGGAUGGAAGUGCAGUGAUGUACGGAGUUGACUGGUACUAAUCGGUCGAGGACUUAAUCAG